GCGCUCAAUUCAGCAGCAUAUAUACUAAAAUUAGAACAAUCCAGAGAAAAUUAGCAUGGCCUCUUCAUAAGGACGACAUGUAAAUUUGUAAAGCGUUUCAUAUUUUA
Ursus maritimus (polar bear) is the source of this 107-nucleotide small nuclear RNA. Lineage: Eukaryota; Metazoa; Chordata; Mammalia; Carnivora; Ursidae. The record is from Ensembl.